Molecule: non-coding RNA, 153 nt
Filed under: Robertmurraya massiliosenegalensis
Lineage: Bacteria; Bacillati; Bacillota; Bacilli; Caryophanales; Bacillaceae
Source: RNAcentral
AAGGUGUCUAAAAUAGACGUAAAAGGGAAUCUGGUGUAAGUCCAGAACUGUACCCGCAACUGUAAGUGCGACGAAAUAAGGAAAACCACUAUCUUUUAGAUGGGAAGGCCUUAAAGUAGGAAGAAGCACGAGUCAGGAGACCUGCCUUUUUUA